GAAAUCUGAAUUUUGAUUCAUGCCAACCACCAAUAAUUUAAAACACUUGACUUGUUUAACACUGUAAGUGAACUUUAGGUUGAAGUAGAAAUGAACUAACUACAAUGAAAACCAAGACUAAUUUUGAAGGUUUCAGAAAUAUAAAAACAAACAUCUAAGAAACUAAUGCUCUUUGUAUACCAAACUUCGAGCAAACACACUUGUACUCCUUCAUUUCAUAUGUCAAAGAGAUGAACAAUACCUGGAAUAUAGGAAGCAAAGAAAACCAAGUUCAGCAGAAGAAAAAGGCAGCAACAGAACCCUAUAACAGGAGACAACCAGCAAAGACAACUCAAAACCAAUCCAAUGGAACGGUAAACCAACAGAAAAGCUUGAACCAACACUUUCAAAAUCCCAAUUUAAUCCAUUUUUCGACCCCAAAGAGAAUUAGAAGUUGUUUUUUUUAGUUCAAAACUUCAAGAUCAUAGAAAGAGCUCAAUGAAACAGUGGUUUUUUUAUUUCCAGUCAUUUUCAAUUUUUCUCUGAUUUUUCUCUUCAAUUUCUGCCUUGAAAGGCAAGAAAACCAUGCCUUUAUAGGCAAGGAAGUAGGGCAGCUUACAAAAGAUAAAAUUUGCAAUUAGACCCUUCUCAACUUCUUUUUCUUUGCUUUUUAUUCCUGACUUUUGACUUGUUAACCAAGUAAGUGUACUAUGCAGCUUCUAGGAAGUUUCAUGGGUGGUUACUUGAGAGAUUCUCUCAGUAACUUCCCUAGUUUACCCUUAAUACCCCUGAAUUUUACUUUGAGAACCAGACCAAGAUGGGUCAAAAUUUGGCCCAAUACUAAACCAAAUCAGGUGGGCUACUCCUUUCCAAAUGGAUCAGACACAACCCAAAGCCCAAGCGAGCACUUAUCCAAUUGAAAAGAAUAUACUACAGACCCAGAUAUCAUGAAAUGAUUUCAACAACAAUCCUAAUUCAAUCACUGAUCAAUUCACAGCUAGGUGAGGGAUUAACUAAAUUACUAAAUCAACAUAAACUAAUUAACCUAAACUAAGGAACUAACAAGAAGGAAAUCAGAGACUUAACUCUAAAACUAAACAAACGGGCAAACAAGGUUAGUGAACAAGUUUUAAGAGUUGAAAAGAAAAUUAAAUACGACCAGAAUCAAAUACCAAACCCAAAUUAAUCUAAAGGAGGGAAAACUAAAUCUAAGACUAUUCACAGAAGAUAAAAUUAGUCAAGGCAAACGGAAAAGAAAAGAAGAAGAUCAAGAGAUAAAACGGACAUGCAAAAGAACUCACCAAGCAGACUCGAAACCAAACCGAAUUUCUUGGUUUAACGAAAUUGAUGCUAUUCACUUGUUCUUUGUUAAGAACAAGUGAACUGUAUAGAUUUUGCAUUGAACCAAUACUUCGACUCGUGACAACCAAGAAGCCUGGGCCAUUGCACUCUCAGAACUGAAGGUGAAGAGAUUUGGGGUUUUAGGGUCUCUAAUUUGAUUUGAGAUUCGAGCAACUCUGUGAGGAUUUGAGAGAAACUCGUUGUGGAUUAGGGAAGAUUGAGCCAUGGGGGUUAUCUAGUGUUAAUUUAGGGUGAUUUGGGAAAUUUUAGGUUUUUAGUUUAGUCUUUGAUUGAAGAUUCGACGAGUACCGCGGUGAUUCGAAGGAAACAAACAACGGAUUCGACAUGAGGGGAGGAAGUGGGUGCUAUAGUGUAAAUCUGGUGUGGAUUGGAGGUGGCGCCGCCACUAAUGGCGGUGGGAAUUUAAUGGCGGCUUCUAGGGUUUUCAGUGGUUAGGGUAUCUGAGGUUGUGAAAGAGACGAUGAGGGGGGAGGGGG
Molecule: long non-coding RNA, 1817 nt
Filed under: Nicotiana tabacum (common tobacco)
Lineage: Eukaryota; Viridiplantae; Streptophyta; Magnoliopsida; Solanales; Solanaceae
Description: long non-coding RNA (NTAB_LNC003425)
Source: RNAcentral